RNAcentral lists this ribosomal RNA (406 nucleotides) under uncultured bacterium. Its description in RNAcentral is "partial 16S ribosomal RNA". It matches the Rfam family "Bacterial small subunit ribosomal RNA", at positions 29 to 526 of the family's 1533-position model. The record is from RNAcentral.
AUUGAACGCUGGCGGCAGGCCUAACACAUGCAAGUCGAGCGAGCGGCGGACGGGUGAGUAAUGUCUGGGAAACUGCCUGAUGGAGGGGGAUAACUACUGGAAACGGUAGCUAAUACCGCAUACCAUCAGAUGUGCCCAGAUGGGAUUAGCUUGUAGGUGGGGUAACGGCUCACCUAGGCGACGAUCCCUAGCUGGUCUGAGAGGAUGACCAGCCACACUGGAACUGAGACACGGUCCAGACUAGUACGGGAGGGAGCAGGGGGGAAUAUUGCACAAUGGGGGAAAGCCUGAUGCAGCCAUGCGGCGUGUGGGAAGAAGGCCGUCGGGUUGUAAAGCACUUGCAGCGGGGAGGCGGUACCCGAAGAAGAAGCACCGGAUAACUCCGGGCCAGCCGCCGCGGUAAUUC